CUACGGGGCGCUGCAGUGGGGAAUAUUGCACAAUGGGCGCAAGCCUGAUGCAGCCAUGCCGCGUGUAUGAAGAAGGCCUUCGGGUUGUAAAGUACUUUCAGCGGGGAGGAAGGGAGUAAAGUUAAUACCUUUGCUCAUUGACGUUACCCGCAGAAGAAGCACCGGCUAACUCCGUGCCAGCAGCCGCAGUAAUACGGAGGGUGCAAGCGUUAAUCGGAAUUACUGGGCGUAAAGCGCACGCAGGCGGUUUGUUAAGUCAGAUGUGAAAUCCCCGGGCUCAACCUGGGAACUGCAUCUGAUACUGGCAAGCUUGAGUCUCGUAGAGGGGGGUAGAAUUCCAGGUGUAGCGGUGAAAUGCGUAGAGAUCUGGAGGAAUACCGGUGGCGAAGGCGGCCCCCUGGACGAAGACUGACGCUCAGGUGCGAAAGCGUGGGGAGCAAACAGGAUUAGAUACCCCGGUAGUC
This 464-nucleotide ribosomal RNA is filed under the name uncultured bacterium. Its description in RNAcentral is "partial 16S ribosomal RNA". It matches the Rfam family "Bacterial small subunit ribosomal RNA", at positions 339 to 795 of the family's 1533-position model. The record is from RNAcentral.